Molecule: ribosomal RNA, 496 nt
Filed under: uncultured bacterium
Lineage: Bacteria
Description: partial 16S ribosomal RNA
Rfam family: Bacterial small subunit ribosomal RNA
Source: RNAcentral
AUGAACGCUGGCGGCGUGCCUAAUACAUGCACGUCGAGCGAACGGACGAGAAGCUUGCUUCUCUGAUGUUAGCGGCGGACGGGUGAGUAACACGUGGAUAACCUACCUAUAAGACUGGGAUAACUUCGGGAAACCGGAGCUAAUACCGGAUAAUAUUUUGAACCGCAUGGUUCAAAAGUGAAAGACGGUCUUGCUGUCACUCAUAGAUGGAUCCGCGCUGCAUUAGCUAGUUGGUAAGGUAACGGCUUACCAAGGCAACGAUGCGUAGCCGACCUGAGAGGGUGAUCGGCCACACUGGAACUGAGACACGGUCCAGACUCCUACGGGAGGCAGCAGUAGGGAAUCUUCCGCGAUGGGCGAAAGCCUGACGGAGCAACGCCGCGUGAGUGAUGAAGGUCUUCGGAUAGUAAAACUCUGUUAUUAGGGAAGAACAUAUGUGUAAGUAACUGUGCACAUCUUGACGGUACCUAAUCAGAAAGACACGGCUAACUACGUG